Molecule: ribosomal RNA, 449 nt
Filed under: uncultured bacterium
Lineage: Bacteria
Description: bacterial SSU rRNA
Rfam family: Bacterial small subunit ribosomal RNA
Source: RNAcentral
UCCAGACUCCUACGGGAGGCAGCAGUGGGGAAUAUUGCACAAUGGGGGAAACCCUGAUGCAGCAACGCCGCGUGAGUGAAGAAGUCAUUCGUGAUGUAAAGCUCUAUCAGCAGGGAAGAAAGAAAUGACGGUACCUGACUAAGAAGCCCCGGCUAACUACGUGCCAGCAGCCGCGGUAAUACGUAGGGGGCAAGCGUUAUCCGGAUUUACUGGGUGUAAAGGGAGCGUAGACGGCGAUGCAAGUCUGAAGUGAAAGGCGGGGGCCCAACCCCCGGACUGCUUUGGAAACUGUAUAGCUGGAGUGCAGGAGAGGUAAGUGGAAUUCCUAGUGUAGCGGUGAAAUGCGUAGAUAUUAGGAGGAACACCAGUGGCGAAGGCGGCUUACUGGACUGUAACUGACGUUGAGGCUCGAAAGCGUGGGGAGCAAACAGGAUUAGAUACCCCAGUAA